RNAcentral lists this ribosomal RNA (468 nucleotides) under uncultured bacterium. RNAcentral's name for it is "partial 16S ribosomal RNA". It matches the Rfam family "Bacterial small subunit ribosomal RNA", at positions 28 to 507 of the family's 1533-position model. The record is from RNAcentral.
GACGAACGCUGGCGGCGUGCUUAACACAUGCAAGUCGAACGGAAAGGCCCUGCUUUUGUGGGGUGCUCGAGUGGCGAACGGGUGAGUAACACGUGAGUAACCUGCCCUUGACUUUGGGAUAACUUCAGGAAACUGGGGCUAAUACCGGAUAGGAGCUCCUGCUGCAUGGUGGGGGCUGGAAAGUUUCGGCGGUUGGGGAUGGACUCGCGGCUUAUCAGCUUGUUGGUGGGGUAGUGGCUUACCAAGGCUUUGACGGGUAGCCGGCCUGAGAGGGUGACCGGCCACAUUACUACUGCGAUACGGCCCAGUCUCCUACGGUGGGCAGCGGUGGGGAAUAUUGCCCAAUGGGCGGAAGCCUGUUGCAGCAGCGCCGCGUUCGGGAUGCCGGCCUUCGGGUUGUGAACCGCUUUCGCCUGUGACGAAGCGUGAGUGACGGUAAUGGGUAAAUAAGCACCGGCUAACUACGUG